Molecule: small RNA, 562 nt
Filed under: Pongo abelii (Sumatran orangutan)
Lineage: Eukaryota; Metazoa; Chordata; Mammalia; Primates; Hominidae
Description: processed transcript
Source: RNAcentral
AUUUCCGGCACCGGCAUGGCGGGGUGAGCGGCUGUCUUCCUUAUUUAAGAUCGGGAAUUUAGUCAGCCUGGUGAGCGGACUCUGAGGAGAUGGAGUAUCGCUGAGGUGAUGGGAGAGAAUGUGGUCGUUAGCGACAUGGAGAGAGAAAGUGGGAAGCCCGUGGCUGUUGUCGCAGUUGUGACUGAGCCUCGGUUUACCCAGCGAUACAGAGAAUAUCUCGAGAGGCAGAAACUCUUUGAUACACAGCACCGUGUGGAAAAGAUGCCGGAUGGCUCGGUGGCGCUACCGGUGCUGGGAGAGACGCUUCCAGAGCAGCACCUGCAGGAGCUGAGAAAUCGUGUUGCCCCAGGCAGUCCCUGUAUGCUCACGCAGCUCCCGGAUCCUGUUCCUUCAAAGAGGGCCCAGGGUUGUUCACCUGCCCGAAAAUUGUGUCUUGAGAUGGAGUCUUGUUCUGUCUCCCAGGCUGGAGUACAGUGGUGCGAUCUCAGCUCACUGCAACCUCCACUUCCUGGGUUCAAGCGAUUCUCCUGCCUCAGCCUCCCGAGUAGCUGGAAUUACAGGU